Molecule: long non-coding RNA, 3900 nt
Organism: Pezoporus occidentalis (night parrot)
Lineage: Eukaryota; Metazoa; Chordata; Aves; Psittaciformes; Psittacidae
Exons: 6
Source: RefSeq, a predicted model, not a curated record
GCCUUUCAGCCGGGAACUCGUAUUUGAAUGAACUGAUCAUCGUCGUUUCUGAGGAAUUCUGGUGGUGAUUCGCUUUCGGGUCACCAGAGGUUUCUUCCUUAUGGGGAACAGAUCCAUUAUAUUAAUAUAUAUUAAUGCCCAUUUGUUUACUGUAGAUCCUUCACUGCUUGCAUAGUGGGUAAGUAAACAGUGCAGCAGAGAGAGGACCUUUCCGACACAUCUCUUGACCUGUAGUAGAGCUGUAAUAUUCAUAACCUGGAUGAUUCACAGAGGAAAUCCUAUACCAGAAAAAUGCUACAUCUCUGAGGAUGCACCUUUGACAGAAAAAAAAAUAUACGAUGUGCAUAAUGGAUAUAUAGAAGCUCUCAUAUCUUUCAGUUGUCCUCUCCAGUGCACAUACUGUGGCAGUAUGGCAUGAAGAUAGUUGAGAAAUGAUGAUUCAGCGUCCUUAUACACCUGCCAGCACUUUUACUUCAACUGAAACUUCUCAUGAGCCCCAGUGAGCUCCCGAUUUCUACCGGACUUGGCAGAAGCAAAGUUUAGCAGCUAAUCCAGCUGCUCAGCAAAGCCAGAGUUUCUACCUGCAGGCAGGCUGCACAGCAGGCCCUCAGGAGCCUAUCACAGGGUGACACUUGCCCUGUGACAGAGAGGGAACUUCGGAGCACAAGUGCUGGACAAGGUGAAUCUCAGUUUAGUUUUGCAGCGUGGGGUAUGCAGGCUUGUUUUUCUCUAUUGAGGGCUUCCUGAGCUGAAAGCUUCACAGUUCUUUACCUCUCCAAAACAGCAGAUUCCUAGUCUUGAGCAUCCCUGGGCACUUGUGUAAGGCUUGUAAGUUGCCGAUGGGGUGAUACCUUGAGACAUUUCAGCAGGCUGAGAGAGCUGGGGUUGGGAUCUCUCCAGGGAGACCCUUAAAGCAGCCUUCCAGUGCCUAAUGGGGCCAAUAAGAAAGCUGGAGAGGGCCUUUUUACAAGGGCAGGUAGUGAUAGACAAGGGUAAAUGGCUUUAAACUGAGAAGAUUACAGAUCUAGAUUAGAUAUCAGGAAGAAGUGUUUUCCAGUGAGGCACUGGCACAGGUUGCCCAGAGAGGCUGUAGCUGCCCCAUCCCUGGCAGUGCUCAAGGGCAGGUUGGAUGGGGCUUUAAGCAACCUGAUCUAGUGGAAGUUGUCCCUGCCUGUGGCAGGGGGCUUGGAACUGGAUGAUCUUUAAGGUCUCUUCCAACCCAAACCAGUCUGUGAUUCUAUGAUUUUGUAUCCCCUCAUUCUUCUUUCUGUUCUGUGAUACCAAAUGACAAGACUUGGAAGAGCUGAUUCUAAGAGUUAUGGUCUUUAACGGUCAUCUUUGUUUCUCAUCCUUGUUCCCACACUCCAGGGUCCUAGGGAUGCAGCUGGCCAAUAUAGCUAGGUGUUUUUUGAGGAAUCAUCUGGAGAUUCCUGCCUGUUGCUUCUUUUGCAGUGAGAAAGCAAGACACACAUUAGUGAUAAGCCAGGUUCUUCCUCCUCCCCCAAAACACAUUGUUAAACUUUUAGCUGUGGCUUUUUUCCAUGCAACUUUACAUUAUUAGUGCACUGCAGUUGUGGUUCCACAAGAAUUUGGGAUCUCCUUUUCCAUGAAGGGCAAAACCACAAGCUGAUCAUAUGACUGUUUAUACCUGUAAGCCCAUCACAAGUCUGUCUCUGCCCACAUACUGCUGUAUCAGUUGCCUGUUGCAGUUGGUGUCACAUAUGCAGGGCCUCUCCACACCCUUUACACUGUACUCCCUGUGGUUCCCUGCUUUCCAGGCACACAGGGAUCAGCAGUGCCUCUAAUUGUGCUUCUUGGCUGUCUCCCAGAAAGUGCUUUUAUCGCUGUUCUUCCAUGCUUACUAUUUAGUCAACGUGCUUUAUAGGCAGCAUGAGACGUGUUUUCUAUCAGGCACAGUAAAACAACCUGCUGCUGCCAUGAAGGAUGGGCCACGCCUCCCUCCCACUAUCCUUCUGGCAUGCUCCCUGUUCCUGUCAGCCAGUGAAAUGUCAGUAGCAGGUCCCAUCUGGUAAGGCCAUAGGAACCUAAUCCCUCCCUCUUGGGUCAGAUAUAACCAGAUGACCUAAACUGGAUGCUGCAAUAGCAAGGAAAAAGUCUUUGGGAGGAGCAAGAGGUAAUAAUGGCAGGAGACUUGAAAUGAAGUGACAGAAACAGAAGCAGAAUUUCUCUACAGAGAUUUUUUCAAGCAGGACCUGCAGUAGGUCCUCCCAUUAUAAAAUAACAGUACCUAGUCAUGGCCAUGAUUAAAUAAUUAAAAGUAUUCCCAUCUCUGGCUGCUGGUGUCUGGUAUCAUUCAGAAAUACAACUGUAGUACAUCACACGAGAUGUACUCAGCCAGUUUGCUGGCUGAGCCAGGUUGUAUUGCUGGUGUUGAGUCAUUUUCCCCCUCCCAUGCAACAGAUUAAAACGUCCUUGGUGUUUGUGUGCACAUGUGUAUCUGAAAAGAGAAAGUGCCUCAUUUUUGUAUUAAAACUAAUGUGUUACUAUCAUGAUUGUGUCUCAUUGUUUGCUGUUAUAUAAAGAUAACACAUCAGGGCUGAAUCACAGAAACAAAUGCAAAAAAUUGCAGUCUUAAAAGAAUAAGGUGACAGGUCACAUUCAUUGUUGUAGAACAAAUGCAAUAAUUAAUUGCCCUCUCCCUGCAGCACAAGCAACUACUAGAGAGCUAGGCAGUGAAAAGGAGCCAUGUGGAGUAUCCAUAUUCUUCUAGGGCAAACAGCUGAGGUAGAUUAUAUUCAGAAAAUAGAACACAAAAAGCUUUUUGGAAUUUGUGCUGUAUUUUUUUUUUUCUCUCAGACAGUGACAGGCCAGAAUCAGCCCAUGUGAAAAUACACUUUUUAUCCAGCCACAGCAGCUGAACUUGGGAUGUUUGAGUCUACAGGUGACCCUAAGCUACAGCAUCUUCCUCAGAGAUAUACCGCAGAGUCAACAGCAGACUGGAGUUCCACGGCUCGGCUCUGCAGCAGCAAAGCCCAUGGGAAGGCACUGUGUCAAGCCUUAGGCAGAAGCAUCAAGGUCUGUGGCAUCUCCUUAGCUGCCUGAAAGACUUGAAGAAGACCAAAGGGGAUGAUGUCCCAAGUCCCUCACAAGACAGUAAUUUCACUGGAUGGUCCUGCACUGCUCUGCUGUCUUUGCACAGAACAUCUCCUUCUGCACUGAGGUUUUUCAGGGAAGAUUCUCCUAACCACUGUGAUGAUUAAGACAAUGUCCAAAAGACUGUAUCACUGGAACAAGAUGCAUAUUCUUAAUCAGCUGAACUGAUCCUAUGAAAUUUUCAUCAGUUCUGAGGCUCCAGACCACCAUUGUCUAAUAUUACAGGUCUCAAUUCUCUCCUUCAUUCAGCACUCUCCUACAUAGGGUCAUUUUAAAAGGGAAGCCAAGUACGAGCCUGUGUCAUGAAGUUUGAAAAACAGUUUCCAGAGCAUGUUCUAGAGCAACUUCUGAGCUCCUUGAGGCACGAGUUGCCAGACUCCUCCUGAUUUACACAGAUCUCUGCAGUAUGUCAUCCAACAUCCACAGAUGUUCCAAGCAGAUGCAAGCUGUGGUCUCAUGGAUGUGGAAAACUGUUCUCUAAAUUAUGAACAACAACUGCGAGAAUGAGUUUUGUUUCUACCCUGGGAACAAGAGAAGCUUGCUAAUAGUGCAAAGUUUGCUACUGUGGCAAUGCUCUGCAAAAUGAUUCCCCAACAAGCAGCAGUUCAGAAGCACAGCAUGUUUUGUGAAUGACCCUGAUCAGCCCAAGAGAGCCAGUCCAAGGACUCUUCUCUCUUACAGAUUGCAGCUGGUUCUCACAUGGCCAUGCAGAGACAUCACCGAUUCGUCCCUGCCAGCUGACCUUUGCCUGCAGUGCCUCAACUCUCCAGAAAUGAAAGAAUAAAA